RNAcentral lists this ribosomal RNA (96 nucleotides) under Tinca tinca (tench). RNAcentral describes it as "partial 16S ribosomal RNA". Lineage: Eukaryota; Metazoa; Chordata; Actinopteri; Cypriniformes; Tincidae. The record is from RNAcentral.
GCCAAAUAGCUAGCUUAACUACUUAUAUAACCCAACAAUAUACAUAACAAAACAUGACAAUAAUGAUAAAAACUAAACCAUUUUUUUACCUGAGUA